GGUAGAAUGGCUGAGGUAAGCAUUAGACUGUAAAUCUAAACAUAAAGGUAGUAACCCUUUUUCUACCA
RNAcentral lists this transfer RNA (68 nucleotides) under Toromys rhipidurus (Peruvian armored tree-rat). RNAcentral's name for it is "tRNA-Tyr". It matches the Rfam family "tRNA". Rfam says of the family: Transfer RNA (tRNA) molecules are approximately 80 nucleotides in length. Their secondary structure includes four short double-helical elements and three loops (D, anti-codon, and T loops). Lineage: Eukaryota; Metazoa; Chordata; Mammalia; Rodentia; Echimyidae. The record is from RNAcentral.